Molecule: long non-coding RNA, 116 nt
Organism: Maniola jurtina (meadow brown)
Lineage: Eukaryota; Metazoa; Arthropoda; Insecta; Lepidoptera; Nymphalidae
Exons: 3
Source: RefSeq, a predicted model, not a curated record
UACAGUAUAACAGCUCAAAGUUCAUCUCUCGCAACACUGCAGUCCCGUCGUGACCACGACUCAUACAACUGGGUCGAAAUAUCGAUGAUUCAAAAUCAUAUAAAUUUCUAAAUCCC